RNAcentral lists this ribosomal RNA (508 nucleotides) under uncultured bacterium. RNAcentral's name for it is "partial 16S ribosomal RNA". It matches the Rfam family "Bacterial small subunit ribosomal RNA", at positions 28 to 507 of the family's 1533-position model. The record is from RNAcentral.
GACGAACGCUGGCGGCGUGCCUAAUACAUGCAAGUCGAACGCUUCUUUCCUCCCGAGUGCUUGCACUCAAUUGGAAAGAGGAGUGGCGGACGGGUGAGUAACACGUGGGUAACCUACCCAUCAGAGGGGGAUAACACUUGGAAACAGGUGCUAAUACCGCAUAACAGUUUAUGCCGCAUGGCAUAAGAGUGAAAGGCGCUUUCGGGUGUCGUUGAUGGAUGGACCCGCGGUGCAUUAGCUAGUUGGUGAGGUAACGGCUCACCAAGGCCACGAUGCAUAGCCGACCUGAGAGGGUGAUCGGCCACACUGGGACUGAGCCACGGCCCAGACUCCUACGGGAGGCAGCAGUAGGGAAUCUUCGGCAAUGGACGAAAGUCUGACCGAGCAACGCCGCGUGAGUGAAGAAGGUUUUCGGAUCGUAAAACUCUGUUGUUAGAGAAGAACAAGGACGUUAGUAACUGAACGUCCCCUGACGGUAUCUAACCAGAAAGCCACGGCUAACUACGUG